RNAcentral lists this transfer RNA (355 nucleotides) under uncultured Microcystis sp. RNAcentral describes it as "partial 16S-23S ribosomal RNA intergenic spacer". The stretch from base 133 to 206 matches the Rfam family "tRNA". The record is from RNAcentral. Lineage: Bacteria; Bacillati; Cyanobacteriota; Cyanophyceae; Chroococcales; Microcystaceae.
AAGGGAGACCUAAUUCGGGUAUAAGACGAAAAAAGAGUAGUCGAAACCAAGAAUCAAUCCCAAAAGGUCGGAACGAGGUAUGUGGCUUUCAAACUAGGUUCUGGGUUCACACAAGACCUGAAUCAGGAACAAGGGCUAUUAGCUCAGGUGGUUAGAGCGUACCCCUGAUAAGGGUGAGGUCCCUGGUUCGAGUCCAGGAUGGCCCACCUGCACAGGUGGCAAAAACAAAGAAGCGAGGAAUCAGCACCUUAUCUUAUCUAUAUAUAAGAGAGAAUGCUGGCUCUGAGUAAAGAGUCCAGAGGAACCUUGAAAACUGCAUAGAGCUAGGUGAAAAAGCCAAAAAAGAAGACCGCAA